This 152-nucleotide non-coding RNA is filed under the name Acinetobacter bereziniae. RNAcentral describes it as "FMN riboswitch aptamer (RFN element)". It matches the Rfam family "FMN riboswitch aptamer (RFN element)". Rfam says of the family: The RFN element is a highly conserved domain that is found frequently in the 5'-untranslated regions of prokaryotic mRNAs that encode for flavin mononucleotide (FMN) biosynthesis and transport proteins. This element is a metabolite-dependent riboswitch that directly binds FMN in the absence of proteins. Lineage: Bacteria; Pseudomonadati; Pseudomonadota; Gammaproteobacteria; Moraxellales; Moraxellaceae. The record is from RNAcentral.
GCUUCAGGGCGGGGUGUAAUUCCCCACCGGUGGUAAAUUGGACUGAUUUUUAAUCAUGAACCAACAGCCCACGAGCCUAUCACUUGAAAUCAGUGAUUCGCAGAUUUGGUGAAAUACCAAAGCCGACGGUAUAGUCCGGAUGAAAGAAGACG